GACGAACGCUGGCGGCGUGCUUAACACAUGCAAGUCGAACGGAAAGGCCCUGCUUUUGUGGGGUGCUCGAGUGGCGAACGGGUGAGUAACACGUGAGUAACCUGCCCUUGACUUUGGGAUAACUUCAGGAAACUGGGGCUAAUACCGGAUAGGAGCUCCUGCUGCAUGGUGGGGGUUGGAAAGUUUCGGCGGUUGGGGAUGGACUCGCGGCUUAUCAGCUUGUUGGUGGGGUAGUGGCUUACCAAGGCUUUGACGGGUAGCCGGCCUGAGAGGGUGACCGGCCACAUUGGGACUGAGGUACGGCCCAGACUCCUACGGGAGGCAGCAGUGGGGAAUAUUGCACAAUGGGCGGAAGCCUGAUGCAGCAACGCCGCGUGCGGGAUGACGGCCUUCGGGUUGUAAACCGUUUUCGCCUGUGACGAAGCGUGAGUGACGGUAAUGGGUAAAGAAGCACCGGCUAACUACGUG
Molecule: ribosomal RNA, 468 nt
Filed under: uncultured bacterium
Lineage: Bacteria
Description: partial 16S ribosomal RNA
Rfam family: Bacterial small subunit ribosomal RNA
Source: RNAcentral